GGGUGAGUAACACGUGGGAACGUGCCUUUAGGUUCGGAAUAGCUCCUGGAAACGGGUGGUAAUGCCGAAUGUGCCCUUCGGGGGAAAGAUUUAUCGCCUUUAGAGCGGCCCGCGUCUGAUUAGCUUGUUGGUGGGGUAAUGGCCCACCAAGGCUACGAUCAGUAGCUGGUCUGAGAGGAUGACCAGCCACAUUGGGACUGAGACACGGCCCAAACUCCUACGGGAGGCAGCAGUGGGGAAUCUUGCGCAAUGGGCGAAAGCCUGACGCAGCCAUGCCGCGUGUAUGAUGAAGGUCUUAGGAUUGUAAAAUACUUUCACCGGUGAAGAUAAUGACUGUAGCCGGAGAAGAAGCCCCGGCUAACUUCGUGCCGGCAGCCGCGGUAAUACGAAGGGGGCUAGCGUUGCUCGGAAUUACUGGGCGUAAAGGGAGCGUAGGCGGACAUUUAAGUCAGGGGUGAAAUCCCGGAGCUCAACUCCGGAACUGCCCUUGAUACUGGGUGUCUUGAGUGUGAGAGAGGUAUGUGGAACUCCGAGUGUAGAGGUGAAAUUCGUAGAUAUUCGGAAGAACACCAGUGGCGAAGGCGACAUACUGGCUCAUUACUGACGCUGAGGCUCGAAAGCGUGGGGAGCAAACAGGAUUAGAUACCCUGGUAGUCCACGCCGUAAACGAUGAUUGCUAGUUGUCGGGGAGUUUACUUCUCGGUGACGCAGCUAACGCAUUAAGCAAUCCGCCUGGGGAGUACGGUCGCAGAUUAAACUCAAAGGAAUUGACGGGGGCCCGCACAAGCGGUGGAGCAUGAGGUUUAAUUCGAAGCAACGCGCAGAA
RNAcentral lists this ribosomal RNA (826 nucleotides) under uncultured bacterium. RNAcentral describes it as "bacterial SSU rRNA". It matches the Rfam family "Bacterial small subunit ribosomal RNA", at positions 104 to 968 of the family's 1533-position model. The record is from RNAcentral.